Mesocricetus auratus (golden hamster) is the source of this 791-nucleotide long non-coding RNA. RefSeq lists it as uncharacterized. The transcript is spliced from 4 exons. NCBI's taxonomy places the organism in Eukaryota, Metazoa, Chordata, Mammalia, Rodentia, Cricetidae. The record is from RefSeq and is a predicted model, not a curated record.
GUGACAGUCACCUGGACUUGGACCCUUCUGCCCUGAAACAGACACAGCCGACUGAAGGCUGUGCUGGGUGCUAAAUGGUUCAGCCAGGAGGGGACAAACGAGGGUGCCUUUGGCUUCUGUGUUUGACAAGGCUCCUACUGAGCAGGUGACAAAGUCCUGGCCUCACUCGGGCCACCAGCCAGCGGUGUCUGCCCUACCCCUCAGGGUACACCUCUGCACAGUGGAAUGAGAGGAAAGAGGGACCCUCCCCUUUCCAGCCCUCGGUGUGUGAAGUACAGGAACAGAGCAGAGCCAGAUGACCUCGCUUGGGCGUGUUUAGCUGUUCACGUACUUCAUGUUCGUUCACUCUGGUAACCCUUUUCCAUUAGAGGAAGAAAUGGAAGUCCAGAGAAGGAGCUCGCAGCGUCCUUCCCCAACCACCAUGCCUGCUGCUUGCUGCCCAGCUUCCUCGCCAUGCUGGACUCUUACCCCUGGAGCCAUCAGCCAAGCAAACUUCGUCCUUUACAUUAUGGUAGUCACUGCAACAGAAAAGGUUCAUAAGUUCGAGGUCAUCCUUUGCCACAUACAGCAUUUGAGGACAGAUUAAGACUUGAGCUAACAGAGACAGGAGCUGAGGAGAGACCACUCAGUGGGAGCCCCCCAGAAGAAAACGUGGGAAGCAGAAGUGCCUAUGUUGGCACGCCGCUGGUUGACCAGAAGUACCAGGAGAGUGCACCCCCACCAGCCCCAGCCCACCUGCCCAUGAUGGAUGGCGUCUGUCUGCUGCUUUAUUAAACUCACGCCAAGGUUCA